Pelobates cultripes (western spadefoot toad) is the source of this 653-nucleotide non-coding RNA. NCBI's taxonomy places the organism in Eukaryota, Metazoa, Chordata, Amphibia, Anura, Pelobatidae. The record is from the annotation of a GenBank genome assembly.
AAUGACUGAAUCUUCUUGAAGAAGGUUCGUGGAAUGUUGAUUGGAAGGGUAUUUAAUAGAUAUAACAGUCUGGGGAGAAGUUGGCUCCAUACAGCAUCUUGGCAUGGGGGGGGUUAUGUUAACUCCCAGGUACUUGAUAGAUUUCGUGGCCCAUUGGAAGGCAUUUUGUGUUUGUAAUCGUGUUUUGUCCCUUUCUGGUAGGGUAAGGUUCAAUAUCUCGCAUUUUUCGGUGUUUAUUUUAAAGUUGGAUAGGCCACUAUAUUCAGAUAUGCAUCAGUGCUGGGAGGGACGAGAUCGGAUUGGGUGAAUAAUCGUCCGCAAAUGCGGUUACCUUUUAUAUUGGUGUCGGCCCACCCUCAUUCCUUUCACCCUAGACUGGUUUCUCACCGCGUUCAACAGGGGCUCCAAUCCCAGGAUGAAUAGCAGUGGGGACAGGGGGCACCCCUGCCUUGUGCCAUUUGUUAUUUGGAAGGUUUCGGACAGGAUCCGGUUGAUUUUGAGCUUCGCUGAAGGGUAUGAGUAGAUCGCUUGGAUCCAUUGCAUUCACCUCCGACCAAAACCCAGCGCUUCCAGCGUCGACAGGAGGACGUUUCAGUCCACCCUGUCUAAUGCUUUCUCCGUAUCGAUAGCCAACAUGAUGGAGAGGAUCUUAU